This 1505-nucleotide long non-coding RNA is filed under the name Homo sapiens (human). RNAcentral's name for it is "HSALNT0084673". Lineage: Eukaryota; Metazoa; Chordata; Mammalia; Primates; Hominidae. The record is from RNAcentral.
AUCACUCUGAGAGAAACCAGGUGACACAUUGUGGGCUGUCUCAUGGAAGGGCCUUAUGUAAAGGAACUGAUGUCUCCAGUGUCAGCCAAUCUCCAGCCAGGACCUGAGGCCUUGCAGCAGUCACAGAAGGGAGCUUGGAAAUGGAGCCUUUAUGAGUCCAACCUCAAGAUGAUAGAAGCUCCAGCAGAUACCUGGAUUGCAACCCUGUGAGACACUCUGAGCUAGAAACACCCAGCUGUCCUGCUCUGGGUUUCUGACUCAAAGAAACUCUGAGAUUUGAUCUGUUAUGUUAUAGAUAGAACCACAUCCAGCUUUACUAACCAACAUUCAGAUGAUUUACAAAAGAAGAGGAGGAUCACCAAUGAGGAAGGCAUCCAGAGAUUUAUGAAGAAGAGGUAUCUGAUAAGAAACUGGAAUUCCAUAUGGAAUGAAGUCUCGUAGUCACAGACCAAAUAUUUUUUGGUCAUAUAUUUUGGCCAUUACCAAAUUACCACCAAAUGAUUGACUCAAAUUGAUCCGUGAAGCAAAUGUCAGAAGCUGCUUUCAGUUAGUUAAAACAGUGAUCAAUUUGCAAACAAUUGAGUAUUUGAUAUGAGUAUUAUUACACAUAGUUUUCAAAGAGCCUAUAAAUAAAAACAUCAGAAAAUAUUUCAUGUUUAAGGAAUUCAAGAACAUUAAAUUAUUUUAAAAUCAUACAGGUUUUUUUUUUCUAAUUAUCACAGUGUCAAAUUACUUGUAUGGGAAGAACUAUGUUUCUGCAUACAUGCUGUGUGUACAGGCACACACACAUAUGUACACAUUCCUCAACAUGCCACAAGACUCUUAAGCAAAGUGAAAUUAAUUCAGCAGAUGUGUUUUAGCAUAUCAGGAAAUUAUAAUUAAAUAUGAUAAAAUAAUAAUAUUAAAAUAUAAUUAACUAUCAACUUACAUAAUGAGGUACCUGAUUGAUUUGACCUUCUCACAGAAUCAACAUUCUCCACCAUGUAAAUGGGUCACUUAGUAACUAUUUGUUGCAGUGAUAUCACUCAGCUUAUGCUUUAAAUCAAUCCUGGCUCCUUCACCAGUCACCUGGCCUCAAAAUCCAAGGUGGUAAAUUGGCAAGUGGACCAGCUUGUUAACUUUCCUGGGACAGACACCAGGUCUUGGUGCCUCCGGCCAGGAGAGACAUGGGGCUGCAACCCAAGGGCCAAGUAGAGUGAAAGACGAAUCCAGAUUAGAAACAGGAUAUGAAAUAUUAUAUGUGACAAGAAAGAAAGAUAAAACAAUGCUGGUUGAAUUGGACAACCAGAAGAAGCAGCAAAGGAACAGAACUGGUAAUAGUGAGAGGUGACAGAGUGCUGGCGGUCCUCACAGCCCUCACUCACUCUCGACGCCUCCUCUGCCUGGGCUCCCACUUUGGCGGCACUUGAGGAGCCCUUCAGCCCUUUCUGGGCUGGCCAAGGCCGGAGCCGGCUCCCUCAGCUUGUGGGGAGGUGUGAAGGGAGAGGCGCUGGCGGGAACCGCGG